UACGUAGGGUGCAAGCGUUAAUCGGAAUUACUGGGCGUAAAGCGUGCGCAGGCGGUUUUGUAAGUCUGUCGUGAAAUCCCCGAGCUUAACUUGGGAAUUGCGAUGGAGACUGCAAGGCUGGAGUCUGGCAGAGGGGGGUAGAAUUCCACGUGUAGCAGUGAAAUGCGUAGAGAUGUGGAGGAACACCGAUGGCGAAGGCAGCCCCCUGGGUCAAGACUGACGCUCAUGCACGAAAGCGUGGGGAGCAAACAGG
This 253-nucleotide ribosomal RNA is filed under the name uncultured bacterium. RNAcentral describes it as "partial 16S ribosomal RNA". It matches the Rfam family "Bacterial small subunit ribosomal RNA", at positions 524 to 776 of the family's 1533-position model. The record is from RNAcentral.